UUUGGAUCUACGAUGUUACCGAUAUACUGCGUUAUCUAUCUGCAAUUUCCCAAUUGGAAUUGAAGAUAAAUGUAAAUACGCUGAGAUCCAUU
Molecule: small nucleolar RNA, 92 nt
Organism: Mangifera indica (mango)
Lineage: Eukaryota; Viridiplantae; Streptophyta; Magnoliopsida; Sapindales; Anacardiaceae
Product: small nucleolar RNA snoR27
Exons: 1
Source: RefSeq, a predicted model, not a curated record